CAGGGAAUAGUUUAAAUAGAACUUCAGCUUUGGGUG
Molecule: transfer RNA, 36 nt
Filed under: Moschus berezovskii (Chinese forest musk deer)
Lineage: Eukaryota; Metazoa; Chordata; Mammalia; Artiodactyla; Moschidae
Description: partial tRNA-Pro
Source: RNAcentral